GUGUCAGCAGCCGCGGUAAUACGAGGGGUCCAAGCGUUGCUCGGAAUCAUUGGGCGUAAAGCGAGUGUAGGUGGCUUUGUAAGUCAGGAGUGAAAGCCCUGGGCCUAACCCAGGAAGUGCUUUUGAUACUGCAGAGCUUGAAUGUGGGAGAGGAUCGUGGAAUUCCAGGUGUAGUGGUGAAAUACGUAGAUAUCUGGAGGAACACCGGUGGCGAAGGCGGCGAUCUGGCCCAACAUUGACACUGAGACUCGAAAGUGCGGGGAUCAAACAGGAUUAGAUACCCUGGUAGUCC
Molecule: ribosomal RNA, 292 nt
Filed under: uncultured bacterium
Lineage: Bacteria
Description: partial 16S ribosomal RNA
Rfam family: Bacterial small subunit ribosomal RNA
Source: RNAcentral